RNAcentral lists this ribosomal RNA (253 nucleotides) under uncultured bacterium. RNAcentral's name for it is "partial 16S ribosomal RNA". It matches the Rfam family "Bacterial small subunit ribosomal RNA", at positions 524 to 776 of the family's 1533-position model. The record is from RNAcentral.
UACGUAGGGGGCAAGCGUUGUCCGGAUUCAUUGGGCGUAAAGAGCGUGUAGGCGGCCAGGUAGGUCGGUUGUGAAAACUGGAGGCUCAACCUUCAGAGGUCGACCGAAACCAUCUGGCUAGAGUCCGGGAGAGGAGAGUGGAAUUCCUGGUGUAGCGGUGAAAUGCGCAGAUAUCAGGAAGAACACCCGUGGCGAAAGCGGCUCUCUGGAACGGUACUGACGCUGAGACGCGACAGCGUGGGGAUCAAACAGG